Molecule: transfer RNA, 77 nt
Filed under: Candidatus Cloacimonadota bacterium
Lineage: Bacteria; Pseudomonadati; Candidatus Cloacimonadota
Description: tRNA-Arg
Rfam family: tRNA
About the family: Transfer RNA (tRNA) molecules are approximately 80 nucleotides in length.
Source: RNAcentral
GCUCCCGUAGUUCAGAUGGAUAGAAUAGGUCCCUCCGAAGGAAAAGGUCAGCCGUUCGAAUCGGCUCGGGAGCGCCA